RNAcentral lists this ribosomal RNA (242 nucleotides) under uncultured bacterium. RNAcentral's name for it is "partial 16S ribosomal RNA". It matches the Rfam family "Bacterial small subunit ribosomal RNA", at positions 15 to 236 of the family's 1533-position model. The record is from RNAcentral.
GAUCAUGGCUCAGGAUGAACGCUGGCGGCGUGCUUAACACAUGCAAGUCGAGCGAAGCACCUAAGAAAGAUUCUUCGGAUGAAUUCUUUUGUGACUGAGCGGGCGGACGGGUGAAGGUAACGCGUGGGUAACCUGCCUCAUACAGGGGGAUAACAGUUAGAAAUGACUGCUAAUACCGCAUAAGACCGCGGUACCGCAUGGUACAGUGGUAAAAACUCCGGUGGUAUGAGAUGGACCCGCGU